GCGUUCGGCAAAUUCACGUAGACGCACCAGAUUUAGGUUCUGGCGCCGCAAGGUGUGCGAGUUCAAGUCUCGCCUCCCGCACCA
This 84-nucleotide transfer RNA is filed under the name Escherichia coli. RNAcentral's name for it is "tRNA-Leu". The record is from RNAcentral. Lineage: Bacteria; Pseudomonadati; Pseudomonadota; Gammaproteobacteria; Enterobacterales; Enterobacteriaceae.